Molecule: ribosomal RNA, 527 nt
Filed under: uncultured Pleosporales
Lineage: Eukaryota; Fungi; Ascomycota; Dothideomycetes; Pleosporales
Description: eukaryotic LSU rRNA
Rfam family: 5.8S ribosomal RNA (bases 159-312)
Source: RNAcentral
GACUGCGGAGGAUCAUUAACGUGGGGCUUCGGCCCCGCCGAGAUAGAACCCUUGCCUUUUGUAUACCGUCCGUUUCCUCGGCAGGCUCGCCUGCCAAUGGGGACCAUAAUAAACCUUUGUAAUAACCUGUAAUUGUCUGAUCAAAAAAUUAAAUUUAAAACUUUUAACAACGGAUCUCUUGGUUCUGGCAUCGAUGAAGAACGCAGCGAAAUGCGAUAAGUAGUGUGAAUUGCAGAAUUCAGUGAAUCAUCGAAUCUUUGAACGCACAUUGCGCCCAUUGGUAUUCCUUUGGGCAUGCCUGUUCGAGCGUCAUUUUAACCCUCAAGCUCUGCUUGGUGUUGGGUGUCUGUCCUGCCCUCGGGUGCGGACUCGCCUCAAAUUCAUUGGCGGCCGGUACAUUGGCUUCGAGCGCAGCAGAAACGCGAACUCGGGGACGGUGGAUCGGCUCCCAUAAGCCAUUUUAUCAAUUUUGACCUCGGAUCAGGUAGGGAUACCCGCUGAACUUAAGCAUAUCAAUAAGCGGAGGA